UACAAGCCCGCCUCGUGCGGCAAC
Molecule: ribosomal RNA, 24 nt
Filed under: Verticillium nubilum
Lineage: Eukaryota; Fungi; Ascomycota; Sordariomycetes; Glomerellales; Plectosphaerellaceae
Also listed under: 5 other names
Description: partial 28S ribosomal RNA
Source: RNAcentral